CUUAGGCUGAACAUAGUAACGUGAUUAUGAUUCCUAACCGUACAUAACUAACGAAACGCCACGUCACACUUCAGAUCUACAUCAUCAAACCAAAUGCCACAAUAGCGGCGACGGAUCCACCGACGGCGACUCUAACGGAAGCGGAUUCGCCGCUAGGAGCCAGAGCAGGACCAUCGCCGACGGUAGCAGGUUCGGAAGCGGAGGGGGAAAUAGUAGGAGCGACGGGAGCGGGAGGAGAAUCGAUCGGAGACUCAACCGGAGAUUCGGAAGGUGAGACGGUGGUUGUUGUUGGUGUUGGAGAAGGUGGAGAUGAAACUUGAGGAGGUGAGGCUGGAGCGGGAGUAGGUGUAGCGGUGGGAACUGGAGGAGGAGUGGCGGUGGGAGUUUGAGGAGGAGUGGCGGUGGGAGUUUGAGGAGGAGUGGCUUUUGGUGUAGGUGUAGAUGCCGCCGGAGCCGGUGAUGAUUUGGGUGAGGCGGUGGGAGAGGUAGAAGGUGCUUGACCGAGAGCGCCGGUAGCAAGUAAAACGGUUAGGAAGAAGAAAGCAAUGUUAUGAGAAGACAUGGUUGAUGAUAUAUUAAAAUAUUAUUAUUAUUAUGUGAAUGAAUGAAUGAAUAUUGGUAAUGUGAGAGUGAGAAAGAGAAAGAGAAAGAGAAAAGAGAAAUAGUAUAUUGAUUUUGAAGAGAGGAAAAGGAAGGAAAUGGAA
RNAcentral lists this long non-coding RNA (704 nucleotides) under Cicer arietinum (chickpea). RNAcentral describes it as "long non-coding RNA (CARI_LNC001608)". Lineage: Eukaryota; Viridiplantae; Streptophyta; Magnoliopsida; Fabales; Fabaceae. The record is from RNAcentral.